AUACUUAGCUGACAGAGGAGAUUCCAUGACCAGAAAAGCACUUUUCCCAGAACGGGGCUGAUCCAUUGCAUUCGGGAUGUGAUUUCCCCAAAUGUGGGAAAUUCAACUGCGUAAUUUGUGGUAGUGGGGUACUGUGUUUGCACUCGCCUGGA
RNAcentral lists this small nuclear RNA (152 nucleotides) under Dasypus novemcinctus (nine-banded armadillo). Its description in RNAcentral is "U1 spliceosomal RNA (ENSDNOG00000028411.1)". It matches the Rfam family "U1 spliceosomal RNA". Rfam says of the family: U1 is a small nuclear RNA (snRNA) component of the spliceosome (involved in pre-mRNA splicing). Its 5' end forms complementary base pairs with the 5' splice junction, thus defining the 5' donor site of an intron. Lineage: Eukaryota; Metazoa; Chordata; Mammalia; Cingulata; Dasypodidae. The record is from RNAcentral.